GGGGACGUUACGGAUUCGACAGGGAUGUCUUGGCUUGAGUCGCGCGUCGGAGGUCUCGGCUCCGUCACCAACGGAAGUUAUAUAAUAACUGGCAAAACUAACAACAACCUAGCUUUCGCAGCCUAGUCUGUCGAAACUGCCUAUCUGCCCUAUCGCCCAUGUAGCGUAGGUAGGCUCACUUAAAGUGGGAUACGGUUCACAGUGCCAUCUUAGCUGUGUACAAGAGAUUUCAAGAUUAGCGUACAAGACGCCUGUUUAUCGGCAUAAUGCUACGUGAAACCCUAAGUAGAUAAACUACACGCGUAGAAGCUUAAGUAUGGGAGUUUCUGGACGCGGGUUCGAUUCCCGCCGUCUCCA
RNAcentral lists this transfer-messenger RNA (357 nucleotides) under Kurthia sibirica. It matches the Rfam family "transfer-messenger RNA". Rfam says of the family: Bacterial tmRNA, also known as 10Sa RNA or SsrA, is named for its dual tRNA and mRNA-like properties. Its role is to liberate the mRNA from a stalled ribosome. The record is from RNAcentral. Lineage: Bacteria; Bacillati; Bacillota; Bacilli; Caryophanales; Caryophanaceae.